AUUCCUACGGGAGGCAGCAGUGGGGAAUCUUAGACAAUGGGGGCAAUCCUGAUCUAGCCAUGCCGCGUGAGUGAUGAAGGCCUUAGGGUCGUAAAGCUCUUACGCCUGUGAUGAUAAUGACGGUAGCAGGUAAAGAAGCCCCGGCUAACUCCGUGCCAGCAGCCGCGGUAAUACGGAGGGGGUUAGCGUUGUUCGGAAUUACUGGGCGUAAAGCGCGCGUAGGCGGAUUAGAAAGUUGGGGGUGAAAUCCCGGGGCUCAACCCCGGAACUGCCUCCAAAACUGCUAGUCUAGAGUUCGAGAGAGGUGAGUGGAAUUCCGAGUGUAGAGGUGAAAUUCGUAGAUAUUCGGAGGAACACCAGUGGCGAAGGCGGCUCACUGGCUCGAUACUGACGCUGAGGUGCGAAAGUGUGGAGCAAACAGGAUUAGAUACCCUGGUAGUCCACACCGUAAACGAUGAAUGCCAGUCGUCGGAUAGUAUACUAUUCGGUGACACACCUAACGGAUUAAGCAUUCCGCCUGGGGAGUACGGACGCAAGAUUAAAACUCAAAGGAAUUGACGGAAU
Molecule: ribosomal RNA, 564 nt
Filed under: uncultured bacterium
Lineage: Bacteria
Description: bacterial SSU rRNA
Rfam family: Bacterial small subunit ribosomal RNA
Source: RNAcentral